Molecule: ribosomal RNA, 402 nt
Filed under: uncultured bacterium
Lineage: Bacteria
Description: partial 16S ribosomal RNA
Rfam family: Bacterial small subunit ribosomal RNA
Source: RNAcentral
AUUGAACGCUAGCGGCAGGCCUAACACAUGCAAGUCGAGCGAGCGGCGGACGGGUGAGUAAUGUAUGGGGACUGCCCGAUAGAGGGGGAUAACUACUGGAACCGGUAGCUAAUACCGCAUACUAUCGGAUAACCCAGAUGGGCUUAGCUAGUAGGUGAGGUAAUGGCUCACCUAGGGGCCGAUCCCUAGCUUGUCUGAGAGGCUGAACAGCCACACUGGGACGGAGACACGGCCCAGACUCCUACGGAGGCAGCAGUGGGGAAUAUUGAAGAAUGGGCGCAAGCCUGAUGCAGCCAUGCAGCGUGUAUGAAGAAGGCCCUAGGGUUGUAAAGUACUUUCAGUCGGGAGGCGUUACCGACAGAAGAAGCAUCGGCUAACUCCGUGCCAGCAGCCGCGGUAAUA